GAUGAACGCUGGCGGCGUGCCUAAUACAUGCAAGUCGAGCGAACGGACGAGAAGCUUGCUUCUCUGAUGUUAGCGGCGGACGGGUGAGUAACACGUGGAUAACCUACCUAUAAGACUGGGAUAACUUCGGGAAACCGGAUCUAAUACCGGAUGAUAUUUUGAACCGCAUGGUUCAAAAGUGAAAGACGGUCUUGCUGUCACUUAUAGAUGGAUCCGCGCUGCAUUAGCUAGUUGGUAAGGUAACGGCUUACCAAGGCAACGAUGCAUAGCCGACCUGAGAGGGUGAUCGGCCACACUGGAACUGAGACACGGUCCAGACUCCUACGGGAGGCAGCAGUAGGGAAUCUUCCGCAAUGGGCGAAAGCCUGACGGAGCAGCGCCGCGUGAGUGAUGAAGGUCUUCGGAUCGUAAAACUCUGUUAUUAGGGAAGAACAUAUGUGUAAGUAACUGUGCACAUCUUGACGGUACCUAAUCAGAAAGCCACGGCUAACUACGUG
This 497-nucleotide ribosomal RNA is filed under the name uncultured bacterium. Its description in RNAcentral is "partial 16S ribosomal RNA". It matches the Rfam family "Bacterial small subunit ribosomal RNA", at positions 28 to 507 of the family's 1533-position model. The record is from RNAcentral.